GGCCCCUGAGCGGGAUGCAGGCCUGGGGUCUGUCCCUGACCUGCGGGCUGGACCCUGGGGGCACGGGCUCCUGUCUGGAGGUGCCACUUCCCCGCCCGCGUGGCCUGUGCCACCUGAAGGGGUGCGGGGCUGUGGGAAAGGCCUGGGCUCAGCUGGAGUUCAGCUCUUGCUGGGCUCCUCUGUCCCCGUGAGUGCUCUCGGGGGUACUGAAGCCGCCGGGCCCCGCGUCAGCUGAGCUUUUGGAACAGGAGGUGAAAGGAAAAAUAGGAAACCGUCCAUGUUGCCGAUACUUGAGUUUGAUGUUUUAACAUCAGGGAAGAGCUGUGCGCGUCUUACAUGGAAACACUGGCCUCAGUUCUGGAGUUUAGUGCCCUGUCCUGCGAGUGUCUGGCCCGAGCCAGCCUCUGCCCAGCACACGUCUUGUUAACUUUAUGGGCCGUGUUCGCAGGGAGACCCAGCCCCCGGGUGCCACCCCCACGCCUUGUUCCCAGACUCCAUUGUUGGCACGGCUUGCCAGGCAGAAACACUGGCCGCUUUAUGGGGAGAAACUUAAUCGGGGCGGCAGUGGGGGGGGCAGCCGUGGCGGGGGGGGGGUCCUGGCUCCCGGUGGCCCCAAGCCAAGCUCGAGGUGACUGCGGGGUGACGCCGUCUGUCUGCCUCGCUUGCUCCAGACAUCCGCCUGGGGCCUGAAAGGGCCACCUGCCCAUCGAGGCCUCACACACCUGUCCCCGCUGGCCUGGCUCCUCCCAUCCCGGGCCUGCCCGGCGCCCUGCCCGUGGGCAGACACUGUGGGACCAGGGCUGGGCCGGCGGCGGCGGCGGCAGCUGGCAGAUGGCAGGGCGACGGCCCCCGGCUCCCCAGCAGCCUGGCCCAGGGCGCCCCCUUCAUGCUGCACCGCCUGUCCCUGUCGCCGACCCCCGUCCAGACCACGGCCAUCCCCCCGGGAGAGAGGAGGUCUGUGCUGUCCCUCCCUGAGCCCGAGGCCCGUGGACCUUCCUAGGACCGCAGGGCAGGUGGGCCGAGCACAUCGUGCCCCCCGCCCCGCGGAAUGGGGGCCUUUCCCCUGUUAGCUCAGAAACGUCUCCACGGAUGGGUCACAGACCCAGCAGCGUCGCUCCUGCUCUCCCUGCAAAACCGGGUUGUUGGCCGAAGAACCAGGUUCUGUGGGAGCUGCCCCUUGAGGUGCCUGCCCCAAGGCAGGGGGAUCAGAGUUCAGGGAACCCUGCUGGGGGCACUGUGCCUGCUUCCUGGUCACCUGGAAAGGCGAGGAGCGGCACAGAUGUGCCCGAACCUGCCCCCCGCCCUCGGGGAGCGCCCGCCCCCGGCUCCCGUAGCUGCACUGCCUGCCGCAGGUCUGGCUGUCCGGACACGAGGCCUGGCGCCUCAGAGGGCAAGCCCGGGUCCCAUGGCCAUGGCCCGCCUGGGCCUCCCGGUGGGCCGUGAGAGAGGGGCCCGGACUGAGGAGCAGGGGGAGCAGUGAGGCGGUCACUUCUGGCACAGGACAGGUGAGCCUGGGAGGGCAGCUGUCAGACACGUGGGGGAGAGCUGCCCGGGGCAUUUUUCUGCCCUGGGAGGGUGGAAGAGGAGGGGGGCCUGAGCCCUGGUGAUGGGCAGCCUGGCCUCUGGGAGGGCUGAGGGGCAGGGCAGGCCAGGACCCCCACAGCCAGGUGGACUCAUCUUCCUGUCCCUGUUAGUGGCCAGGAACGCUGAGGUGCGGUUGGCACAGGGCAGGCCCGGACCGACCCACAUAGGCCUGGCUCCCAGUCCAGCGUCUCAGGCUCAGCCUCAGAGGCCCCUGCUGUCCCCGGGCCGACUGUGCUCGUUACCUGUGUCCCUUCCCUCGUGCUGGUCCUGGGAGGGCACCUGUGCAGUGGGCCGGGGCCAGCUGGGGUACAGUUUGCUGAGUGAGCCUGGGUCCUGGGGCGUCUGCAGCUGGCAUAGAGCUGGGGCCUCCUUUGCGAAGUGGGGAGACAGGAGAGGGCUCGUGUCCCUUCUCCCCACAUCCCCCCGCCCUCAGGCCCCAGAGAAACCGUGAGAGCCUGGCAUGGCGCUGGCCGCCCAGCAUGGGACCAGACCUGGGUCUUGCUCACCUGUGAGCCGACAUCGGCCGGCACAGGGCAGCCGCAGAGGCCCUUCUGACCAGGCCUCUGCACGGGGUGUGUCCGCAGGCGAGAGGCCGUGGUGAGACCCCCGCGGGCUGAAGUACAGGGUCUACAGCAGGUGGCUGGCGGGUGAGGCACAGAGCAGCCGCCGGAACUCAGGCAUGGCUGGGGCUCUCCCAAAGCUGACGCCUGUUAUUUUUUCUUAAAUCCAAACAGGUCAAGAAGUGGCGCCAAGGGGGGAGCUUCUGUCCGAGGCCAGCCUUCCUUCCGGUGAGCCGAGUGUUAGGAUGUUGGGCCCCCCCCCACCACUCACGGGGCGCCUCGCCACCUGCCGCACUCCUCCCAGCCCCGGCAGAACCCACCUCUUGCAGGAGACAGGCCGGCGAGGCUCGUGGUCACGCCUGCUGAAUACCCAGCUGGCUCUCACAGGGCAGCAUGGGUGACAGCUGGCACCACGGCCCGCCCCUCCCGCUGUCCCGCCUCUGGGAAGUGGGGAGCCAUGGCGGAGCUUAGGAUGCAGAGGGAGGCGGCCCCUCCCCAUCUCCAGGCCCUGCUGACACCCACAGAGGUCCUUAGAUGGGGUCUCGCUGCCAGACCUUUGCCCAAGCUGUGCCCCACCUGAUGCCAGCUCUCCUCAUCCUCCUGCCACGACUCGGCAAACCCCCCAGCUGACUUACCGCUGACUUACUGCCCGCCAUGUGCUUGUGACCUUUGACCUGCUGAAGGCGCGCUCUGCCCCCCACCCCCCAGGCUGGACUUGGCCUGCACGAGCCACGGUCUGUGUCGCAGGGUGUCUGGAUGGAAGAGCAGCACUGGGCCCCGUCUCCCUCUGCGCCGUGAGGACCCGCCGUUCCUGGCUCCCAGGCAGGUGCGCCUGCCCCCCCCAACCCCAGGCUCACCCUGCCCCCUUCUCUCCACCCGGCCGGGCGCCAGCCCUCGACCUGCUGCCAGCUGUCAACAUGCGACGCACACAGGUGAGUGUUACCCGGGGCAGGAAAGGCUGGAUGAGGAGAACCAGUGACAUCUGCUUCUCCCAGACGGGGCUGGGGGCACCGGGGGCUUGCGGUGACGGCCGGGGUGGCCCAGGGUGUGUGAGUGUACGUCUGUGUGCUAUUUCUCCCCCCGCCCCCGCCCCCUGCCUCUCCUGAUCCCAUGGGGCCCGGCCGGCCCGUGGGCUGGCCCUUUUCCGCAGGCCGUGGCCUCCCACUGGGGUCUGGGGUCGGCCCUGCAGGCUCCAGAGCUGAAGCCCUGGCCCAGGAGGGGUGGGCAGGUGCGGGGCGCAGGGCAGGACUGUCGGAGCCGAGUAGCGGCUCACACGUGGAUUCCAGCUCCAUGUCGGUUCUGGGGCCUGGCUGCUGUUCCCCCCAGGGAGCUGCGUGGACCCCACAUCUCAGGGAGGAAAUCCAGGCCCACAAGGGCGUAAGCAGAAGCACGGCGAGGAGGCCCGCCUGGCUUCGCAGCCAGCUCCACCUGCUGGGCGUCCUGCCCCGGGCCACCCCUGCCUGCUGGGCCCAUGGUCAGAACCCGUGUCCCUGCGGCCUGAGGCCAUUGGGGUCUUGGGGGCAAAGUCAGGAGUCAGGAGCCAGAGCAUGUGCUCAGGGCGCCUCCCCAGAGUCACUCAGACACACGGGGAGCCCUGGGCGGGGCGUCGGGUCCUUGGCUGCAGUGUCUUCCCCGUGACGAGGCCGAGCGGCCGCCCCUCCACAGACAGCCAGCAUGCUCCUGCCCGACCCCUCACCAUUACCGGGGCGGGGGUGGGCAGCAAAGGAAGACCCUCUGGGCCCUGAGGACGGACAGGGCGCCCGUGACCACAGGCCAGCCAGGUCCGGGGCCAGGCUGUGCUGGGGCGUUCCUGGGCUCAUACCCAGGUCCGGGCGGAUGGCGCUGGGUGGGCUCUGAUGUCAUCACGGGCUGACGGUUCUGGCUUUAUCUCAUGCUCCCCGGGGUUGUUCAGGGAGCAGCCGCGGCCGUGUUUGUCAGGACCGGACACCAGAGCUCCCUCUGCAGUCGUGGGUGAAGCCGAGCCCAGGAGAGCCCCUCGCCCCCGCCCUGACGGGGCCCCCUCCGAGCCUUGGUUUCCUCGUGUGAGGUGGGUUCACGGAUCCUGGCUUCACCAGGCCUUCAAGGACCAGGGAGCCAGCACACCUGGUGCCUGCCUGGAGGAGGCAGCCUGCUCGGAAGGAGUGUGGGAGGAGGCGUGGGUGUCAGAAAGCGUGGUGUGAGGCUCAGCUCUUGCACCAUCUUGCUGAGCAGAAAGCAGAGCCACUGGUCCUGCGCUCUGCCGGUCAUCAGCUGCGUGACCUCACGUAGGCCUUGCUAUCUGACUGGGUCUCAGGCACGGGCCCUGGGCCGCGUGUGUCUGUCCCCCGAGGGGCUGCAGUUCCGGCCCAGCCACCCUUUCCUGGGACCCUUUGGGGAGGAAAGAACAGCACUCCAGCCUGUCCUGAUGUGGGGAGAAGCCCGGGUCACCCUGGAUGGCAGGGCCAGGCCCACGGGCAGGGAGGCCCCACUGUCCAGCGGGGGAGGGAGCUGCACCUGGGGCACAGGUGCAUCCCGGGCCACCAGGAACCGGGGGAGGCUGCUGCCAGCGGGCAGGGCCAGGCGGGCACUGGAGCCCCUUUGGGACACAAAUUGGCCUGCAGCAAAUGACAUCCCCCAGUGUCACCUUGGGGCCGUCUUGGCCCCCCCGUGCAGAUGGGAGUGAUCCCACUGCUUGUGUCGCUUCCCCAAAGGCCGCGUCGCGCGUCUGCCCCCCCCCCCGCCUCUCUUCCCUCCCUGCUGGGUGGUCUUCCCCGUGGGGCUCCCCCCUGGCCCUCUGCUGGCCGCCUGCCUGAGCCAUGCCCUUAGCAUCCCGGCCCCCAGCUCUUCUCCUCCCCCCUGCCCAGGAGGUGCCUUCGGAAGCCACGACGUCUCUCCAGGCGCCGAGACUGGCGGCCCUUUGGGGUGAGGUAGUAGGUUGUAUAGUUGGGGCUCCGCCCGGCUGUGGAAUAACUAUACAACCUACUGUCUUUCCUGAAGCGGCUGUAAUGUCGACAGUGGACCGCGCGGGAGCCUGGCCGGGAGGGUGCCUGCCAGCUGGGGCGGGGAGCGGCCUGGCGGUGGGGGCACACUUCCUGUGUGACCCGGGCAGGUCUCUUGACCUCUCUGGGCCUCCGUUUCUCCAUCUGUGAAAUGGGGCAAACGAGGCUUGAGGGCAGUAUGGUGCGACGCGGCCAAGGAGGCCAGGGCUCAGAGGGGGGCCCUCCCUCUCCCCACGCUGUGCUGGCGGACCCGAUGGGCGGACCAGUCUGGACGGUGCCCCCAGCUGAGACCUGGCCGGGGUGGCAGGGCAGCGCCCCAGGGCGACCGGGCGGGCGGCCUCCAUCCGCACAUCCCCGUCUGCCUUGUGGGCACGCGGCCCUGACAGCCUGCGGGUGGACGGCGGGGGGCGGGGGGAACCACGGCGCCGUCCGCAGGGCCCCUCCUGCCCUGCGCCUGCCCGGCCUCCAGCCCAGCCCUGGCGGCUGCGGAUCCCCAGGCAGGGGCCGGGCCUGGGUGUGGGGCAGCAGCGGGCACGGCGGACCCUCCCGCAGCCCGGGCGCCCGCGGGGUGAGGUAGUAGGUUGUGUGGUUUCAGGGCAGUGAUGUUGCCCCCUCGGAAGAUAACUAUACAACCUACUGCCUUCCCUGAGGAGUCCAGCCACGUCCCCGGAGGGUCCGCCCCCGUGCUCAGCAGGUGCCUCGGGGGCCUGAGCGCCCCCCCACCCCCUGCCAGGUGCAGGGAGGCUGCGGUGCGCACACCCCUUGAUUUCAAUAAACGCUGAGUUGU
RNAcentral lists this long non-coding RNA (5909 nucleotides) under Sus scrofa (pig). Its description in RNAcentral is "lncRNA (ENSSSCG00000053509.1)". The stretch from base 5686 to 5771 matches the Rfam family "let-7 microRNA precursor family". The record is from RNAcentral. Lineage: Eukaryota; Metazoa; Chordata; Mammalia; Artiodactyla; Suidae.